GAGAGAGGCCAGUAGCAAUAGAGACUGCUAAUCUCUACCACCGCAGUUAGACUCUGCGGCUCACUCG
RNAcentral lists this transfer RNA (67 nucleotides) under Potamalosa richmondia (Australian freshwater herring). RNAcentral's name for it is "tRNA-Ser (AGY)". The record is from RNAcentral. Lineage: Eukaryota; Metazoa; Chordata; Actinopteri; Clupeiformes; Clupeidae.